CCUACGGGAGGCAGCAGUGGGGAAUAUUGCACAAUGGGGGAAACCCUGAUGCAGCGACGCCGCGUGAGUGAAGAAGUAAUUCGGUAUGUAAAGCGCUAUCAGCAGGGAAGAAAAUGACGGUACCUGAGUAAGAAGCCCCGGCUAACUACGUGCCAGCAGCCGCGGUAAUACGUAGGGGGCAAGCGUUAUCCGGAUUUACUGGGUGUAAAGGGAGCUUAGACGGCAGUGCAAGUCUGAGGUGAAACGCGGGGGCUAAACCCCCGGACUGCUCUGGAAACUGUACGGCUGGUGUGCAGGAGAGGUAAGUGGAAUUCCUAGUGUAGCGGUGAAAUGCGUAGAUAUUAGGAGGAACACCAGUGGCGAAGGCGGCUUACUGGACUGUAACUGACGUUGAGGCUCGAAAGCGUGGGGAGCAAACAGGAUUAGAUACCCCAGUAGUC
RNAcentral lists this ribosomal RNA (440 nucleotides) under uncultured bacterium. Its description in RNAcentral is "partial 16S ribosomal RNA". It matches the Rfam family "Bacterial small subunit ribosomal RNA", at positions 338 to 795 of the family's 1533-position model. The record is from RNAcentral.